This is an RNA transcript of Panicum virgatum (switchgrass), 1922 nucleotides long. It is a transcript of the gene named neural Wiskott-Aldrich syndrome protein-like, with no coding region annotated. The transcript is spliced from 6 exons. Lineage: Eukaryota; Viridiplantae; Streptophyta; Magnoliopsida; Poales; Poaceae. The record is from RefSeq and is a predicted model, not a curated record.
GGGGCGUCGUCGUCGUUGUCUUCGGCCCCUGCUCGGAGAUUGACCUCGGUUAUUAAGCACGCCAUUUCAGGGAUGCGGUGGCCCUUUGCCGGCCCAAAAUAGAGUCUUCAGCGGGGCUGCAACCUCGUUCAACGGGUGGCCACUGGGCGAUGGAUUUGCGCCAUGGAUGCCUAGCUAGGUCCCCAUGAUAAUAGGAAGAACAAAUUACACAGCGGAUUCAUGCCGCAUAGCUAUAUAUGUGCGGUCGCAGAUAAUGGAACACAUGUUUCAUAUAGUUUCGGUCUCAUUUGGAAAGGGUUCUUUGAUUCCAUUCUCUACCGCUAAAAGGAGUGUAGGGAAUGUCCACAGUUGUGACCGUGGGCUCGCUCCCGCGCUGCGCCCUGCGCCCCUCCCGCACCGCUCCACCCCCACCCCACCCCACCGCUCCGUGCCGUCCCCGUCCGCCGUCGGCCGUCCGCCGCGCCGCCAAUCCGCGCCGUCCCCGGCGCCCCCCUCUGCGCCCCUGCUCCGUGCCCGGCGCCGCAGAUCCACGCCACCCUGCCGCGGUGAUGCCGCCGCCGCCCCCCCAUCGCACGCGCCCCCGAUCCACGACUGCCCUCGCGAGAUCAGCCGUCGAGGAGGAAGAGGAGCCAUCGUGCCCGGUGUGCCGUCCUCUCCGAUCCCUUCUUCUACGAAGACGACGACAUCGACGAGCUUCGCGGGCGCAUCGAUCUGGGCUCAACUCCUUCUCCCAAGGCUGCCGCCCCCGCCCGGAGUCUCCGUCUCCCAAGGCCGCCGCUGCCGCCCCCGAGGUGCGCUCCCCGCCAGUCCCCGCCCGAAGGCCAGCUCGCCGGAGGUUACCAUCGACAAUCGCCCACGCCCGAGUUCAGAGUGUUCCAAGUUCCAACAAGGGGAUUCAUUCGGUCGAUGCUGCGGCCGCGCCGAGGAAGGGCGGCGAGUACCGGCCCAGCUUCGCGGACGGCCUCCUCCUCACCUUCUUCCGGAGCAAGAUGGUGGAGCUGCAGAAGGUUGGAUGGGAUUCCCAAAAAAACUUGGUAUGCCGGACUGAUGGAGGUUGUGAAUCGUCUUAUGGUCAAGGGGAAGAGUGCUUCAUAGAUUGAGCAGGCAGCUGUAUAUCACCUCUCUUGUUCCUCCCAAGUCUGUUUUGUUGGACAUCAGUCUAGCAUGUGAACUCAAUACCUAAAUCGAUUUUCGUUUUCUGCAUAUCUCCUUGAAAACUCUUUUGCUUGUUUGUGCCUGUCUUGCUUGUUCUUUACAAAGCUCUUUUUAACACCAAUUGCUGAUGGUCAACUAGCUGCCAUGAUGCUCGGUGAGUUCAUUUCAAGGAAAAAGUACAUCAUUUCUGAUUAUACUUCAUAUUCUUCUCUAUUUAACUUGGUCUAUUGGAAUUGCUGUGUCUUACUUGAGAAGCCAGAGCGACAGCACUUUCAUGCCAAUGGUUGAUGGCACAUGUUCAGUUAAUUCUGCCUGAUGGAAAAUCUUGGUCAAGUGGGGCUAGCAGCAACAAUAUGUCAAUGUAAGCAAGAUUUCUACACCCUAAUCAUUUAAGUUCUAUGAUAAUCUGAAAAACGGUGCCACGGUAAUUAUGGAAGAGAUGAUAAAUUGAACCAGGGUUGCACAACAUGCCAGUUUUGAUUAUUUCUACUUUUCUGAUGCUAGAACUGGUGGGAGAACAUAUGUACUUGAAGAUUGAUGCUUAUGGAGGGAAUUUGUUUCACCCUUAGCAACGCACGGGUAGGCACUGAAGUAGAAUUUUGUGAUCGACGUUUUGACGUUUGCUGGAAAUGCAUAUUGGAAAAUACUUUGUCAAUGUGUUUAGAAAUAUCUUAGCUCUAUCGUAUGGAAAAAUAUUUGAAAGUGGGUGAUGUGGCAUUGGAUAUCCUGAUGUAGUUGAAUUUAUCAAAUUUUAAAACUAUUAUUUA